ACCCUUUUUUGAGUCUUAAAUAAAGUUAGAAUUGAAUGGAAUUAAUCGGCUGCUGGCCGUAUCUUUAUAUUUUCCAAACAAAUAGAAGAGCGGUAUCAAUUUUCUUAUCUAACUCUCGCAAAAAAGAAAAUAAGGGAAUUUCCCAAGAUUUCAAGGUUUCCUUUUCAAUAUCCUUUGUAGAGAUGAUAAACCUUUUCAAUAUCAUUAUGGCCUUCCUCUGCUUCCACCCUUGGGCUAAACUUGACAUUUCUUACUUGAUUGUGGCACAAAACUAAAACAGCAAUGUGGUCUCUUCUUUUUUUAUCCACCAUGCAAUGGUUUAUUCUGGUAUGUAAUGUACAGCCUCAUAGGACUGGCUAUUCUUUUUUCCCCAUCAUUUUUUCUUCAUAGUUGAUAUAUCAGUAAUCUCUCUGGUUGUGGCAGAAUUCACCUGCAGCACCGUAUUGAAGAUGAGGAGCAGUGUAAAUUGCUUAUAAAAGAGCUUCAGGCACAGAUCCAGCAGGCCUGUACAGAGGAGAUCCAGGAAGAAGAAGUACUACAUGAGGAUUAUAUUAGGCGGGUGCUACAGCUUCGUAAGGGUCACAUAUCCUCCCUCACAGAGCUUGUAAGUCCUGCUUACUCUUACCUGUGGGUUCGUCCUUCCGUCUCCAGCCAGCAGGUGGCAGCACUCACUGCAGAGGCCCAGCACAUUGCUUCAUUAGUGCUCAAAUUAAUAGCUGAGCGAGGUGAGGAGCUGGCUGUGGAUCAACUCAGUAAAGAUCUGAAGACUCUGGCUAAGCAAACUAAAGCUACCAAAUACAGAGAAGUGAUGAAGCUGUUACGUCUGGCUCUCAGUGGUCUGCAGCAAGGGCCCAGUGUAGCUGAGAUGAUGGUGUCUUUGGGGCCCGCAGAGAUCAGCCAUCGAUUCCAGAAACUUCUGCUGCUUUCAGAGACUAGUUAAAGACUGAACACUCUGUAAACUCGAAAGACUUUAACAGCAACAAAUGUGCUGCUGUUAAAGACAUGGCCUGUAUGUUGGGAGUUAUGUGCAACCACCUGGUGAUUCUGCCAAAGCUCACUGGGACACAUUUAAAAUGAACUGCAACUCACAGAUAUAAGUUAUCUUGAAUAAUACUUGAAUUAUUAUAAACAUUUUAUAAAAUAAUG
This is a long non-coding RNA of Etheostoma spectabile (orangethroat darter), 1146 nucleotides long. RefSeq lists it as uncharacterized. The record is from RefSeq and is a predicted model, not a curated record. Lineage: Eukaryota; Metazoa; Chordata; Actinopteri; Perciformes; Percidae. The transcript is spliced from 4 exons.